UACGUAGGGGGCAAGCGUUGUCCGGAUUUAUUGGGCGUAAAAGGCUUGUAGGUGGCCACGCCAAGUCGGAUGUGAAAUCUCCCGGCUCAACUGGGAGGGGUCAUUCGAUACUGGCGGGCUCGAGGCCGGUAGGGGGAAGUGGAAUUCCCGGUGUAGUGGUGGAAUGCGUAGAUAUCUGGAGGAACACCGGUGGCGAAGGCGGCAUCCUGGACCGAGAUUGACGCUGAGGCGCGAAAGCCAGGGGAGCAAACGGG
RNAcentral lists this ribosomal RNA (254 nucleotides) under uncultured bacterium. RNAcentral describes it as "partial 16S ribosomal RNA". It matches the Rfam family "Bacterial small subunit ribosomal RNA", at positions 524 to 776 of the family's 1533-position model. The record is from RNAcentral.